RNAcentral lists this ribosomal RNA (624 nucleotides) under Mystacoleucus marginatus. RNAcentral's name for it is "partial 16S ribosomal RNA". It matches the Rfam family "Bacterial large subunit ribosomal RNA", at positions 1796 to 2620 of the family's 2925-position model. Lineage: Eukaryota; Metazoa; Chordata; Actinopteri; Cypriniformes; Cyprinidae. The record is from RNAcentral.
UCGCCUGUUUAUCAAAAACAUCGCCUCCUGCAACACAACCAAGUAUAGGAGGUCCAGCCUGCCCGGUGACUACAAGUUUAACGGCCGCGGUAUUUUGACCGUGCAAAGGUAGCGUAAUCACUUGUCUUCUAAAUAAAGACCUGUAUGAAUGGCCAAACGAGGGCUUAACUGUCUCCCCUUUCCAGUCAGUGAAAUUGAUCUGCCCGUGCAGAAGCGGACAUAAUAAUACAAGACGAGAAGACCCUUUGGAGCUUAAGGUACAAAAMUCAACCACGUAAAGCAACUCAAUAAAAAGAACAAACUUUGUGGAACAUGAAAUUUUACCUUCGGUUGGGGMGACCACGGAGAAAAAUAAAUCCUCCAAGUGGAUUGGGAUUAAACCCCCUAAAACCAAGAGAGACAUCUCUAAGCCACAGAACAUCUGACCAAACAUGAUCCGGCUAAUAAAGCCGAUCAACGGACCAAGUUACCCUAGGGAUAACAGCGCAAUCCUCUCCCAGAGUCCAUAUCGACGAGGGGGUUUACGACCUCGAUGUUGGAUCAGGACAUCCUAAUGGUGCAGCCGCUAUUAAGGGUUCGUUUGUUCAACGAUUAAAGUCCUACGUGAUCUGAGUUCAGACCGGA